GCCUUCGUGGUGUAGCAGUCAGCACGUUCGUCUCGUAACCGAGAGAUCCGUGGUUUGAUUCCCGGCGACGGCG
Stegodyphus mimosarum is the source of this 73-nucleotide non-coding RNA. The record is from Rfam. NCBI's taxonomy places the organism in Eukaryota, Metazoa, Arthropoda, Arachnida, Araneae, Eresidae.